CCCACCCAGUCACUACUCGCACAUUCCAACCCAAACGCCAUGAAUCAAUGCGCAACCUCUCUUCUCUUCUUCUUGUAGCUUCAAAAUACACCGCCAAAUUCUUACAUUUUGCUUGCCUCACCACUCAAAAUCGCUCCAUUUCUCGCUUUUACUUCAGAUCCGCUUGAUUUUUCACCUUGAUUUUGCUCCUAAUUUACGAUCUCACCCACUCUUCUCUCCCAAAACAGAAAAACCGUAUCCUUGGCUCUUAUCUUCCUCAGUACUCCUGCUUUCUUUCUUUGUGUCUACGGUUCUACCUGUCGAGAAACCCUAGAUUUCAUUUUCGCCCUCCUGUUUGUAUAAAUUUUCCUUCGCUAGACUUUACGUUUUCAUUCUUUACCAAACGCUUUAGCUUUGUAGUCCCAUUGUUUUUGUAACUAUUGACGGUUGUAGUUAUUUUUCUUGUUUUUUCUUUUGGUAGUUUUUGCACAAAUUU
This 475-nucleotide unclassified non-coding RNA is filed under the name Hevea brasiliensis (rubber tree). The record is from RNAcentral. Lineage: Eukaryota; Viridiplantae; Streptophyta; Magnoliopsida; Malpighiales; Euphorbiaceae.